RNAcentral lists this non-coding RNA (554 nucleotides) under Pan troglodytes (chimpanzee). Lineage: Eukaryota; Metazoa; Chordata; Mammalia; Primates; Hominidae. The record is from RNAcentral.
AUGGUAUUAAUUGGGUUUCAUGGAUUGGUUUCAAUUCUGAAUGCUUUUCUGGAGCCAAAGCUCAUCUCAGCACUCUUGGGCUGCAUGCUGUAAUCCUGGGGGAUGGGGGAUUAGUCCUGUGGCUUUGCUCUCUGGCCCCUUGAGAUUAAGCACCUGCUGUGCUGGAGGUGCUGAGGUGUUCCCAGUUCACUUGCAACAACACUCUGGCAGGGGCUGCUGGCAAAAUUGCUCCAGUGGGGCAGUGGGAGUCUCCACACACAUGUGCACCAAUGGAGGAGGCUGCAGAAAGACUUCAAUUAUUUUAUUUGAUGUGCCACUGGACAGACUUGUAAGUGGAAGCUCAAGGAAUUCAGUGAGUUGUCUCUGGAAAAGAGCAGAGCAGAUGAACACAACAGAUGAAGCUAUUAAUGCAGCUUUACCUUACUGACCCAGAGCCCUUCGAGUCUGAGUUUCCUCUGGACCAAGUGGUUAUCUUCUCUAUACAGACUGGGGAUUCUAUCUCCCAAGCAUGCAAUAACUGCCCCUUUUGAAUAUUCUAUUCCAAGACUCAUUGC